RNAcentral lists this ribosomal RNA (460 nucleotides) under uncultured bacterium. RNAcentral describes it as "partial 16S ribosomal RNA". It matches the Rfam family "Bacterial small subunit ribosomal RNA", at positions 338 to 795 of the family's 1533-position model. The record is from RNAcentral.
CCUACGGGAGGCAGCAGUGAGGAAUAUUGGUCAAUGGACGAGAGUCUGAACCAGCCAAGUAGCGUGAAGGAUGACUGCCCUAUGGGUUGUAAACUUCUUUUAUAUGGGAAUAGAACGUUCCACGUGUGGGAUUUUGUAUGUACCAUAUGAAUAAGGAUCGGCUAACUCCGUGCCAGCAGCCGCGGUAAUACGGAGGAUCCGAGCGUUAUCCGGAUUUAUUGGGUUUAAAGGGAGCGUAGGUGGAUUGUUAAGUCAGUUGUGAAAGUUUGCGGCUCAACCGUAAAAUUGCAGUUGAAACUGGCAGUCUUGAGUACAGUAGAGGUGGGCGGAAUUCGUGGUGUAGCGGUGAAAUGCUUAGAUAUCACGAAGAACUCCGAUUGCGAAGGCAGUUCACUGGACUGCAACUGACACUGAGGCUCGAAAGUGUGGGUAUCAAACAGGAUUAGAUACCCUUGUAGUC